Non-coding RNA from Trametes polyzona, 127 nucleotides. NCBI's taxonomy places the organism in Eukaryota, Fungi, Basidiomycota, Agaricomycetes, Polyporales, Polyporaceae. The record is from the annotation of a GenBank genome assembly.
UGCCCCGUGGCUGAGUUGGUUACAGCGUCCGACUGUUAUGAGCAUGCACAAGAUUCUGAGUUCGCCUUGCAUCUAGUGUGUGUGAAGUUCUAUCGGAAGGUCGUGAGUUCGAGCCUCACCGGGGCAG